RNAcentral lists this long non-coding RNA (957 nucleotides) under Strigops habroptila (Kakapo). RNAcentral's name for it is "lncRNA (ENSSHBG00005013169.1)". The record is from RNAcentral. Lineage: Eukaryota; Metazoa; Chordata; Aves; Psittaciformes; Psittacidae.
AAAUGAUCUCAGUGCAAUCCUUGCAAAUGCAUCGGAACAGCAUUUCAGAUACAUUUGUCAUCGGGGAUUAAAGUCCGUGCUAUCCAUUAACACAGACGUACCCUUGACCCAACACUGUGUCUGCAGUAAAACUCCCUGUAACAGAACAGUCACAAUCCCAGUAGACUGCAUGCAUUCAUGGAGUACUGCAGCUACUGCAUACACAUUCUACUCCAACAAUAAUCCAAGAAGGGAAGUGGCACAGGUUAUCUGCAUUGGCAUGAGGCAUUUGGGGUGUCCUUCAGACUCCUUUUUCACAGCAAGCCCUUUUUCCUGGGACCACCUUUCUGAUGUUUCCUUACCUAUCACAAGGAAUGUGCAUGAAUUGCCGAGGUGAGUAUCUCCAGAGAGGACGCCUUUAACACCGGAGCGGAGGGAAGCACAGCGUCCCGGAGCCUCAGUUCGGAGCCGCAAGAACCACCGAGGGAGCCUCAAGUCCUCGACAGGACUUGCCCAGGAGCCGGCAGCUCAGCUGACGCGAGCAGCUGACUCACAGGGGGCGGUGCCAGGAGUGGCGGCACCAGCCCUCAGUGGGGAAAAACCCAUCCCAGGGAGCGCGAGCGACCGGGAGCGCGGCGACCAGGGCGGGCAAACAGGGCGUGGCACGUCAGUCAGGGCGUGGCGCGGCAGUUGGCGCAGGCAGGGCGAGCGGGCAGCGAGCGGGAUGGUAAGCACUCGCCUCAGGACCCGGGCCCGCUCUGGGAGCUCUGCCCCGGCGGUGGCCAGCCUAGGCACCCAGACAGAGCCGAUGAGAGGGGAGGCUGCGGCUCAGAGCUCGGAGUGUAGAAAGUGCCUCGACUGGUCUCUUGAGGCGAGGGUGCACAAUGGACAGGGCUGCACUCGGUGCGCCCUGGUGGAGGUCCUCCUGCAGCAGGUGGCUGAGCUGCGGGAGGCUGUUGGAGAGCUAAAAGAUGCCAA